UACAUGGGGUGCAAACGUUGCUCGGAAUUAUUGGGCGUAAAGCGUGUGUAGGCGGCCACGUAAGUCGGAUGUGAAAGCCCCGGGCUCAACCCGGGAAGUGCACUCGAUACUGCGUGGCUUGAGUACUGGAGAGGUUGGUGGAAUUCUCGGUGUAGAGGUGAAAUUCGUAGAUAUCGAGAGGAACACCGGUGGCGAAGGCGGCAUCCUGGACCGACACUGACACUGAGGAGCGAAAGCCAGGGGAGCAAACGGG
This 253-nucleotide ribosomal RNA is filed under the name uncultured bacterium. RNAcentral describes it as "partial 16S ribosomal RNA". It matches the Rfam family "Bacterial small subunit ribosomal RNA", at positions 524 to 776 of the family's 1533-position model. The record is from RNAcentral.